RNAcentral lists this non-coding RNA (758 nucleotides) under Pongo abelii (Sumatran orangutan). Lineage: Eukaryota; Metazoa; Chordata; Mammalia; Primates; Hominidae. The record is from RNAcentral.
ACACAAAAUGGCGACACGUGGUUAGCAUUCGUCGCCAACGAGAAAUUGGGGUCGGCCCGAAAGCUCUAGAAUGCACCCCUAUUCCUCCCCGGGGCCAUUCCCGCUCAACGAGUUUUAUGACCUAAAAAACCCCACAGGCUGGUCUGAAGGUCGGAGGCCUAAUUUUAACGCGUUUUCCUCCCUUUAAUUUGAAACGGGAACGCGAAUAACUAAAAUAGGAAGACACUUAAAGAUGAAGUGCUUAAUUCAAGGUCACAGAAUGUCGGGGAUGGACCUCCAGAUUUCCUUACUGGUGAGACGUGGUCUUGUAACACAGUGGUUAAGAAUGUGACUUUGGAGCCAGCCUGCUAGGGGCUGAAUUCUGACUCAGCCAUUUAUUAACUGUGUGACCUUAGAUGGAGUCUCACUCUGUAGCCCAAGCUGGAGUGGCGUGAUCUCGACUCACUGCAACCUCCGCCUCCUGGGCUCAAGUGAUUCUCGUGCCUCAGCCUCCUGAGUAGCUGGGACUACAGGGGACCAGAUGUGCAGAGGUAAUGAAUACCAGGGAAUCAGGAAACCACUGGAUCAGUUCUUUGAGCCAUAGAACAACACUCAUCCCAGCAGCUGGGAAGCUAUCUGCAAAAGUCCAUCUGCAGAAAGGGCUUCCUGGUCUUGCGUGUGGCUGGGCCAUUUCUCUGGAUGCAGGUUUUUCAUUAUACAGUCUUCUCAAAGGACCACCUGCUCUCAACACCUUCUCGGUGACUCCAUUUCCCCUCCUC